GAUGAACGCUGGCGGCGUGCCUAACACAUGCAAGUCGAACGAAGCAUCUCNCCCGAAGAAGAGGAGAGCUUGCUCAAAUCGGAAUCAAUUNAGAUGACUUAGUGGCGGACGGGUGAGUAACGCGUGGGUAACCUGCCGUAUACAGGGGGAUAACAGUUAGAAAUGACUGCUAAUACCGCAUAAGCGCACGGUAUCGCAUGAUACAGUGUGAAAAGCCGAGACGGUAUACGAUGGACCCGCGUCUGAUUAGCCAGUUGGCAGGGUAACGGCCUACCAAAGCAACGAUCAGUAGCCGGCCUGAGAGGGUGAACGGCCACAUUGGGACUGAGACACGGCCCAAACUCCUACGGGAGGCAGCAGUGGGGGAUAUUGCACAAUGGGGGAAACCCUGAUGCAGCGACGCCGCGUGAGCGAAGAAGUAUUUCGGUAUGUAAAGCUCU
RNAcentral lists this ribosomal RNA (440 nucleotides) under bacterium YSB2005. RNAcentral's name for it is "bacterial SSU rRNA". It matches the Rfam family "Bacterial small subunit ribosomal RNA", at positions 28 to 434 of the family's 1533-position model. The record is from RNAcentral.